UACGUAGGUGGCAAGCGUUGUCCGGAUUUACUGGGUGUAAAGGGAGCGUAGGCGGCGCGUUAAGUCUGAUGUGAAAACCCGAGGCUCAACCACGGGAGUGCAUUGGAAACUGGCGGGCUGGAGUGCCGGAGAGGUAAGCGGAAUUCCUAGUGUAGCGGUGAAAUGCGUAGAUAUUAGGAGGAACACCAGUGGCGAAGGCGGCUUACUGGACGGCAACUGACGCUGAUGCACGAAAGCGUGGGUAUCAAACAGG
This 253-nucleotide ribosomal RNA is filed under the name uncultured bacterium. Its description in RNAcentral is "partial 16S ribosomal RNA". It matches the Rfam family "Bacterial small subunit ribosomal RNA", at positions 524 to 776 of the family's 1533-position model. The record is from RNAcentral.